AGUACAAAUCUUUUUUAUGAUAUUGGGCAUUUAUGCUCAAUCUCUUUUCUGUUAAUAAUUUUUCUUAUUUGAUUAUUUUUAAAAAGAAAAAGAAAACAAAUGUCUCUUUGUCCAGUGUCUGGUUCCAGAUAUUUUACUUUUAAAUGUUUACCUAAGGAAAAAAGAAUGAGAUUGCUAUUUGCCAAGCCUGGAAGGAUAGAAUUUGCUAUUUGUUUACGGAAGCCAUUGGUGCUACUGCCUUACCUGCUACCCACUGCCCUACGCAACCACUUUCUCAUUCUUCAAAAGUUUCACUGACAUGAACCUCACUUGUGGGUGCCAGGUUAUGACCACAUGCAUAGUUUCAUCUUCAUCUUAUGCAACAUUUGGGGUAAAAGGAAGGUUAUGUGGUAACCAGUUUAUGACUUGAACUAUAGGCAAAGAUUGACCAGACCAAGCCCUGAGACACAGUGUUGAGAGCCAAGACAUAAAGUUGUGAAGAUUCAGACCCAGAGCCCAGCAGGGUACAGGCUGGAGGGGUGAUGUGAGUGAUCAGUAACACCAUGAAGACUCUGCUCCUGGGUCAGGAAUGCUUUUUUGUCCCUGUUUUGGAUUUUCCACCAUGAACAGGAAGAAAUCUAAAGGUGAAGGAAAGGCAGCGUUCAGCACUGAGCAAGUCCAUGUUGGAGAAAGUUCACAGGGAAUUGGAAAUCCUUGUCUUCGUGGUUCCUGGCUCAGCAGGACCCCUGUGGGGCCUCUCCCUCUCUUGGGAAAGAGACUGCUCUAGAAGGUUUACUACACCAGUGAGGAGAAGAUGAGCGCAAGGGGGAUUGGCUGGCUGAGGGCGAAAUCAAGACUGGAGCCAAGUGCGCUGAGCUCUCACAUGAGGUCCUUUGCUCCUGUUCCCUGGAGGCAUAAGUGGCUGGGGUAGAGAGAAGCA
RNAcentral lists this long non-coding RNA (919 nucleotides) under Pan troglodytes (chimpanzee). RNAcentral describes it as "lincRNA". Lineage: Eukaryota; Metazoa; Chordata; Mammalia; Primates; Hominidae. The record is from RNAcentral.